ACGAACGCUUGCGGCGUGCUUAACACAUUCAAGUCGAACGGAAAGGCCCUGCUUUUGUGGGGUGCUCGAGUGGCGAACGGGGGAGUAACACGUGAGUAACCUGCCCUUGACUUUGGGAUAACUUCAGGAAACUGGGGCUAAUACCGGAUAGGAGCUCCUGCUGCAUGGUGGGGGGUGGGAAGUUUCGGCGGGUGGGGAUGGACUCGCGGCUUAUCAGCUUGUUGGUGGGGGAGGGGCUUACCAAGGCUUUGACGGGGAGCCGGCCUGAGAGGGUGGCCGGCCACAUUGGGACUGAGAUACGGCCCCGAAUCCUACGGGAGGCAGCAGUGGGGAAUAAUGCACAAUGGGCGGAAGCCUGAUGCAGCAACGCCGCGUGGGGGAUGAAGGCCUUCGGGUUGUAAACCGCUUUCGCCUGUGACGAAGCGUGAGUGACGGUAAUGGGUAAAGAAGCACCGGCUAACUACGUG
RNAcentral lists this ribosomal RNA (467 nucleotides) under uncultured bacterium. RNAcentral's name for it is "partial 16S ribosomal RNA". It matches the Rfam family "Bacterial small subunit ribosomal RNA", at positions 29 to 507 of the family's 1533-position model. The record is from RNAcentral.